GCUCGUGGAUCGAUGAAGACCGCAGCUAAAUGCGCGUCAGAAUGUGAACUGCAGGACACAUGAACACCGACAAGUUGAACGCAUAUUGCACAUCGUACAACAGUACGAUGUACACAUUUUUGAGUGCCUAUAUUUACCCAUUCAACUAUACGUUGCGUGCGGCGCAACGUGCGCGGUUUCACUUCGGGUGGACAGGCGCACGGGGCCGCGCGGGCCAAACGGCGUAUGCGGAGUGAUGUUUUCCCGCCUUCGGUGGCGGUAAAACAUUGAAGAUAGUCAGACGCGCCCCCCCCCCGGGCGCGGUUGAUGAAUACAUCCCAUGGGCCCCACCCCGGUGGGCUAUGUUGUAUUCCAUCGACACCUCACUCACUCACUCAGUAGGCCUCAAAUAAUGUGUGACUACCCCCUAAAUUUAAGCA
RNAcentral lists this ribosomal RNA (419 nucleotides) under Aedes wattensis. RNAcentral's name for it is "eukaryotic LSU rRNA". The stretch from base 1 to 129 matches the Rfam family "5.8S ribosomal RNA", at positions 24 to 154 of the family's 154-position model. The record is from RNAcentral. Lineage: Eukaryota; Metazoa; Arthropoda; Insecta; Diptera; Culicidae.